This 264-nucleotide ribosomal RNA is filed under the name uncultured prokaryote. RNAcentral describes it as "partial 16S ribosomal RNA". It matches the Rfam family "Bacterial small subunit ribosomal RNA", at positions 524 to 788 of the family's 1533-position model. The record is from RNAcentral.
UACGGAGGAUCCGAGCGUUAUCCGGAUUUAUUGGGUUUAAAGGGUGCGUAGGUGGAUUGGUAAGUCAGUGGUGAAAGUUUGCAGCUUAACUGUAAAAUUGCCGUUGAAACUGCCGGUCUUGAGUGCAAUGAGGUAGGCGGAAUGCGUCGUGUAGCGGUGAAAUGCUUAGAUAUGACGCAGAACUCCGAUUGCGAAGGCGGCUUACUGGGAUGCAACUGACGCUGAGGCACGAAAGCGUGGGUAUCAAACAGGAUUAGAUACCCU